This 97-nucleotide transfer RNA is filed under the name Tissierellia bacterium. Its description in RNAcentral is "tRNA-Sec". It matches the Rfam family "Selenocysteine transfer RNA". The record is from RNAcentral. Lineage: Bacteria; Bacillati; Bacillota; Tissierellia.
GGGGGUAGAUGAGUCCUGGUGGGCUCACUGGUCUUCAAAACCAGCUUGGGGCGUUAGGAGCGUCCUAGGUGAGUUCGAUUCUCACAUACUCCCGCCA